CAGGCAGAGGACUUCUUGGUGUGACUUCCUGCGUGUUGCAACCCGAGCAGCCUGUCCCGCCUCUGACCUCUGCUGUGUGGACUCCAGCCUCAUUCCCGGGUACCCGGUAACCGAAGAUAGAAAACAGGCCUAAAAAUAAAUCCCAGAAGGAAGACGAGAUUUGCCUACAUUUGUCUCUGAACUCUGGCAUCAUAAACCUUCACAAGGUGACUCAGAGGAGGCUGAUCACUGUGAACCCCCGAGGAGAAGGAAUCUCUGCCCCGCCCCCCCCCGCGCCGGCACACCGCACCUCUUGAGGAAAACCAUCGUUGACGUUCUUGGGAAAGAGGUGAACAGGCAGGUCCCAGCAGACACUUGGCAGUUCCUAUGA
RNAcentral lists this long non-coding RNA (370 nucleotides) under Bos mutus (wild yak). RNAcentral describes it as "lncRNA (ENSBMUG00000006592.1)". The record is from RNAcentral. Lineage: Eukaryota; Metazoa; Chordata; Mammalia; Artiodactyla; Bovidae.